RNAcentral lists this ribosomal RNA (402 nucleotides) under uncultured Alphaproteobacteria bacterium. RNAcentral's name for it is "bacterial SSU rRNA". It matches the Rfam family "Bacterial small subunit ribosomal RNA", at positions 353 to 772 of the family's 1533-position model. The record is from RNAcentral. Lineage: Bacteria; Pseudomonadati; Pseudomonadota; Alphaproteobacteria.
AGUAAGGAAUAUUGGACAAUGGGGGCAACCCUGAUCCAGCCAUGCCGCGUGAGUGACGAAGGCCUUAGGGUUGUAAAGCUCUUUCGGGUGCGAAGAUAAUGACUGUAACACCAGAAGAAGCUCCGGCUAAAUUCGUGCCAGCAGCCGCGGUAAUACGAAUGGAGCGAGCGUUGUUCGGAAUCACUGGGCGUAAAGCGUAUGCAGGCGGACAUGCAAGUCAGAAGUGAAAUCCCAGGGCUUAACCCUGGAAUGGCUUUUGAAACUGCAUGUCUUGAGUCUCGGAGGGGCCAGCGGAAUUCCCAGUGUAGAGGUGAAAUUCGCAGAUAUUGGGAGGAACACCAGUGGCGUAGGCGGCUGGCUGGACGAGUACUGACGCUCAGAUACGAAAGCGUGGGGAUCAAA